This 74-nucleotide transfer RNA is filed under the name Camelus bactrianus (Bactrian camel). It matches the Rfam family "tRNA". Rfam says of the family: Transfer RNA (tRNA) molecules are approximately 80 nucleotides in length. RNAcentral also lists the same sequence under 2 other names. The record is from Rfam by way of RNAcentral. Lineage: Eukaryota; Metazoa; Chordata; Mammalia; Artiodactyla; Camelidae.
GAGGGGAUAGCUCAACCUGGCAGAGCACAUGCUUAGCAUGCACAAGGUCCUGGGUUCAACCCCUAGUUACCUCC